AACGAACGCUGGCGGCAUGCCUAACACAUGCAAGUCGAACGAGACCUUCGGGUCUAGUGGCGCACGGGUGCGUAACGCGUGGGAACCUGCCCUUAGGUUCGGAAUAACUCCCCGAAAGGGGUGCUAAUACCGGAUAAUGUCUUCGGACCAAAGAUUUAUCGCCUUUGGAUGGGCCCGCGUUGGAUUAGCUAGUUGGUAGGGUAAAAGCCUACCAAGGCGACGAUCCAUAGCUGGUCUGAGAGGAUGAUCAGCCACACUGGGACUGAGACACGGCCCAGACUCCUACGGGAGGCAGCAGUGGGGAAUAUUGGACAAUGGGCGAAAGCCUGAUCCAGCAAUGCCGCGUGAGUGAUGAAGGCCUUCGGGUUGUAAAGCUCUUUUACCCGGGAUGAUAAUGACAGUACCGGGAGAAUAAGCUCCGGCUAACUCCGUG
This 433-nucleotide ribosomal RNA is filed under the name uncultured bacterium. RNAcentral's name for it is "partial 16S ribosomal RNA". It matches the Rfam family "Bacterial small subunit ribosomal RNA", at positions 29 to 507 of the family's 1533-position model. The record is from RNAcentral.